GGAAUUAGGCUUGCAAUUCUUAUCUGAGAAUUGUUAUCUAAUACAUGCUCAAAUGCGAAGAUAGGAAAAUUUCUUAUGUAGAUAGAAAAUUUUCUCGAUAAGACACAGUCGAUUCUUUCAUUUGGAUCAGUUAAUUAGUAUACUGGCGUCUUCAAUCUACACAUGUGUUAAAGUCAAGGUCUUCUACGAUCUGGAACGUACAUGCAAUGUGAAACUUUAGAACCACGAUACGUAGUAUUAGAUAUAUUUUUACUAAUAUCCUGGAAACUAAAGCCGAGUGGCGGUUAUUAUUGUAGGAAAUGAUUAUUCAGAGUGUUAACCUUGAGAGAAUAGUCCAAGGUCAUCGAAAACAACGAGAUAAAAUAUUCCAAGUAAUUUGCAAAAAUGUGAUUUAUCGAAAUGUAAAAAAAAAAAAUUAUAGGAAGAUAACAAAUACAAGUUAAUUAUUUUAGAAUAUUAUUUCAAUUUUUUAAACUUUAGAUUUAUGAUUUAUUAUAAAAUGACGAGUAAUUCUUUCGAUUAAUCGUAGAUAAGAUUAAGUGAAAGUACUGAUAAACGUACAAAUUAUUUGGCAAUUUAUCACAAAUUUUGAUUGACUCUUGUAUUCUUUCGAUUAAUCAAAGAUAAGGUUAAAUAAAAGGAUUGAUAAAUGCAUAAAUUCUGUAUCAAUUUUUUAAAAACUUUUGAUAACUCUCGUAUGUACUCUUUUAAUUAAUCUGUUGGCAAUUUAAUGCAAUUCAUUCGAAUAAUUUAACGAUAACAAUCAUAAUAAACGAGAUAAAAUAAAAACGUAAGAUGCAAAAUUCGCAGGUAGCUUAAUAAUGAACAUUUUGGAGUGAAACUUUUUUUCGUUGUUGAUUUCAUAGAACCCUAUACAAAAUGUAUACAAAGUUUUCCCCUAAAAUCAAAACCCAAUUUCAUAAAGGCUCUUUGUAAAUUUACUUAGUUACUAAGUAUAAAUUUUACGUUUUACCAUAAACAAUACAUUUUCUUUUUACAUUCUUUGAAAUUCUUUUGGUAUUAUUUAACAUGUGUACAAUUUCUUUUAAACAUAUUUUAAAAAUAGUAAUUUACAAUACUUCAUGAACAGAUAAUAGAAAAGUAAAACAAACAGAUGGAAGUUACCAGUGUUUAAGAAUUGAAUGUUCAUGCUAUAGAUGAAUCGACAGCAAUGAUGCAUCAUGUUGAGUAUUACUCAGCGAAAUCAGAAAAAGAACAGGAAUCAUAGAAAUAAAGAUAAGCACAAAAUCGCCGCGUAAUACGCAUAGAUUUAAGGAAAAAUGGAUAAAUAAGGCAAAAUUGUAAGAAAAAUGAUUGACAAUGAAUAAUGAAUAUAGAAUAAUCAGUGAUAAGAGGAACGAAGACUUUUGUACUCCAUUAUCUGUGAUAAUACAGAAAAAAAGCUUACAUAACAUUUCUAUGCAAAAUUAAAGACUCUUUAAAUAUGGUUUAAGACACUUUUAAAGAUGUUUGUGAUUACCAUGGUAUAAAUUUAUGGUGUGUUAGAAAAGUUAUAUCAUCUUUAUUAGAUUGAAUGACAAAUGGAAGGUUUCAGUAUUUGUCAUUAUUAGUUUGAGCAUAACAAGACAAACAGUGACUUAUGACCACUCUAUCGAUACGCUAGUUUCUUGAACUUUCUGAGAGCUGAAGCAGAUUACUGGUGAUCGAACACCAAAUGCAAUGGACUGUAAGCCAGUUUUCAACCACAUAUGUUCAAAUUGAUUUGAAGUUAGAUUAAACACUUGAGAUUAUCAUGCUAAGGAUAAAAUGGCGGGGACAAGGGAUGGAAUAAUGCUUUACCUUUCUGUCAUCCACUUGAAGCAUUGUUAGAAACUGCUUAGCACAACAGAACUUCCUUUCUAACGUUCGUCUUUUGCAAUCUCACAG
Molecule: long non-coding RNA, 1887 nt
Organism: Hylaeus volcanicus
Lineage: Eukaryota; Metazoa; Arthropoda; Insecta; Hymenoptera; Colletidae
Exons: 3
Source: RefSeq, a predicted model, not a curated record